This 1764-nucleotide long non-coding RNA is filed under the name Onthophagus taurus. Its description in RNAcentral is "uncharacterized LOC111426341". The record is from RNAcentral. Lineage: Eukaryota; Metazoa; Arthropoda; Insecta; Coleoptera; Scarabaeidae.
UCGGACGCUCGGCUAAACCCGGAAGACUUGGUAGAAGGAAACUGUCAUGGAUGCAGAAUACCAGGAAUUGGACAGGUUUAAACUUUGAAGACUUUAUCAGAGCUGCGGACGUGAUCACUAACCUACGAUAGCGGAAAUGGCACAAAUAGAAGAAGAUUGCCGAGAAUUCUAAUAAUAAGAGAGUGUCAAAAUAAUAAUUAAAUAUAUUAUGAAAACAAGAUGCAGUUAAGAUAAUUUAAAGUGAAGCACCUGUUUUAAAAUUUUUUAUUUUAAAACACCAUAAGGUCUUCGAAAAAUAUUCGUUAACCAGCUGUCGUUGAACCAUAAGCCUUUUUUCUUACCUAUCAAGUUACGAGAUUCAUCCGUAGUUUUUUGGCUUCACUUUACCUACUAUGCUAUUUAAAGUCGUUUUUUAAAGCGUUUUUCUCCUCCAGCACGAGACAAAAACCACAACAUGUUGUAAUAUAAGAACGGCCAAAGAGCGUGAAUAAAACGUUUACGCAAUUAAUUAAUAAACACAAAGCGUGUUAUAGACUCUGGCAGGAAGUGAUUCUUGGAAAGAAGAAAACCCAUUAAGAUAACGAUUAAAACAACGAGACCCUUCUUCUCUUUACAAGUAUUUUUAUUUCUUUUUUAUUUUUUUCGUUUUUAAUGUGGUCUAAAAGUCUUUUGAGUUGGACGUUAUCUUGAGAUAACGAAAUUCCGGGCGGGAAUUUUGUUUUAAAGUUUCUUUAUGUUUUAAAAGGUUCACAAACCAAGUUGAGCUUCGUAACCUUUCCUUUUUGACCUUUUCAUGAAGAUGCAUCUGAAAACGUGCUUCUAAGAGAUCUUUACCUUUCUCUUUUCCCGGUUCGGAGUCAUCCAAACAAUCUUUUUUUUUAUAAACUAGUCUCGUGAAUCACGAUUUUCUAAAACUAAACAAAAAUAAAUCUUAUUUUCUUUUUUAAUCGCUUCAUUUAAUUAUCUUUGGUGAAUGGAAAUUGCAUGAUUAUCGUUUAUUGGGGCCAAAUAGAAGUGAUUAAUUUCAUUUCCCUAUUUUUUGUUUGAAUUGCGAUGAGGUUUUAAAUAAAACAAGGUUUAUUUACACAAAAAAGGUUCUUGUUUAAAGAUCCCACGACCUUUAAAUCAUUAUUCUCAAUUAAAUCUUAUGUAACUGUAAACAUUCAUAAUGAAAAUAUAAACAAAUUAAAAAAAUUGAUUUAGAAAUUGUAAUGGAAAAGAAAAUAGAGAAGUGAAAGCUUUUUUCGCUUAUUUAGAAAGUUCUCUUUGUUUUUCUUACCUUAAAAUAAAGAAAAAGAAAAUUAAAAUAUUUUUAGGUUAUUUGUUUUAUUUGACAGAUUGAUUUUUGACUGAAUUAAUACCAACCAUUAAGAAUUAAAAAAAAUUAAGUUGGCAGUUUUUAAUUUAACUUAAACCGGUUUCCACGACAACAACAAAAUCUUUAACGUUUUUUAGUUGAAAAGAAGCGAAUUUAACACCCGAUCAAAGCGAAUCGUCUCAAGAAUGUGAUCUCUAUGCGCUAAAAAAUACGACUUUCACACGGUGCGGCGGUGAUGUACCGCAAAAGAAGCGAUCUCGAGAUGAAUCUCCGCGCUGAAGCUUUCUAAAGAAGACUUCUUCGGCGACCUCAAUUUCUUGUUUUGCGCGGUUAAAAAUCUCAACGCUGAACAAGAUGUAUUGCUGACUGAGAAGUGUAUACUUUACCGCGAAGAAGGAUUUAAAGGAUGGAAUCGACUUUGGUUUUAAAGUAUGUGCAAAAAAACU